RNAcentral lists this ribosomal RNA (301 nucleotides) under uncultured bacterium. RNAcentral's name for it is "partial 16S ribosomal RNA". It matches the Rfam family "Bacterial small subunit ribosomal RNA", at positions 509 to 807 of the family's 1533-position model. The record is from RNAcentral.
CAGCCGCCACGGGAAUACGUAGGUGGCAAGCGUUGUCCGGAAUUAUUGGGCGUAAAGGGCUCGCAGGCGGUUUCUUAAGUCUGAUGUGAAAGCCCCCGGCUCAGCCGGGGAGGGUCAUUGGAAACUGGGAAACUUGAGUGCAGAAGAGGAGAGUGGAAUUCCACGUGUAGCGGUGAAAUGCGUAGAGAUGUGGAGGAACACCAGUGGCGAAGGCGACUCUCUGGUCUGUAACUGACGCUGAGGAGCGAAAGCGUGGGGAGCGAACAGGAUUAGAUACCCCUGUAGUCCCUGUCUCUUAUAC